This 40-nucleotide non-coding RNA is filed under the name unclassified sequences. RNAcentral's name for it is "DUF805b RNA". It matches the Rfam family "DUF805b RNA". Rfam says of the family: Bacteroidetes, Chlorobi (1 example), Proteobacteria. Lineage (Flavobacteria) The record is from RNAcentral.
ACAGCGCAAGCCGAAAAGCUGUUAUUAAAAAGAGUAGGCA